CGGGGUGCACCAGGCGCGAAAACUCUACAAUGCAGGCAACUGCGAUAGGGGAACAUCGAGUGAUCCUCAUAUUGGGGGUCUGUCCACCCGUCUAAAAAACGGGUGUUAGCAAGGGCCGGGCAAGACCGGUGCCAGCCGCCGCGGUAAUACCGGCGGCUCGAGUGGUGGCCGAUAUUAUUGAGUCUAAAGGGUCCGUAGCCGGCUUUGCAAGUCUCUCGGGAAAUCCAGCGGCUUAACCGUUGGUCGUCCGGGGGGUACUACAUUGCUUGGGACUGGGAGAGGUAGGAGGUACUCAGGGGGUAGGAGUGAAAUCCUGUAAUCCUUUGGGGACCACCGGUGGCGAAGGCGUCCUACCAGAACAGGUCCGACGGUGAGGGACGAAAGCUAGGGGCACGAACCGGAUUAGAUACCCGGGUAGUCCUAGCCGUAAACGAUGCUCGCUAGGUGUCACAACAGUCGUGAACUGUUGUGGUGCCGUAGGGAAGCCGUGAAGCGAGCCACUUGGGAAGUACGACCGCAAGGUUGAAACUUAAAGGAAUUGGCGGGGGAGCACAAGGGCGAUUCGCG
RNAcentral lists this ribosomal RNA (567 nucleotides) under uncultured archaeon. RNAcentral's name for it is "bacterial SSU rRNA". It matches the Rfam family "Archaeal small subunit ribosomal RNA", at positions 326 to 897 of the family's 1478-position model. The record is from RNAcentral.